GAGCGGGGGUCCCCACGCUGCUCCGGGGCCAAUAGGGGCAGCCGGGGAGGAGCGGGCAGGGGGGCAGGCAGCUCUGCUGGGGGGCAGAGCACGCUGGGGAGGCUUUUAGCCAAGCUGCGCUGGGAAUCGCCGGUCGCCAUGAAAGACUUCACCGAAAUCACACUUUGCCCUGAGGCUCUGGACCACAGCAAGACUGAGUUCUGCAACCCUGUCUUCGAGGGCGAGGAGCCCCGGGCAGCACCAAGCGCCGAGCACCCAUCAGAUGAGGACAGGACCAGCCCUGUAUCGCCCCGGGACGGCCUCGGCCGGCAGCUCUGGGGCCAGGCAGACUGGCGGUACCGUGCUGACUGCAAGUUCACCUGGCUCUGCGUGGCUCUGAUGAGUGCUGUCCUCCUCUUCCUCAUCGCCCUCCUGAUGGGCAUCGUCAUCCAUCCCAUUUCUCCCUGCUGGGGCUGAGCUGUCC
Molecule: long non-coding RNA, 463 nt
Filed under: Bubo bubo (Eurasian eagle-owl)
Lineage: Eukaryota; Metazoa; Chordata; Aves; Strigiformes; Strigidae
Description: lncRNA (ENSBOBG00000007059.1)
Source: RNAcentral